Molecule: ribosomal RNA, 301 nt
Filed under: uncultured bacterium
Lineage: Bacteria
Description: partial 16S ribosomal RNA
Rfam family: Bacterial small subunit ribosomal RNA
Source: RNAcentral
CAGCCGCCGCGGUAAUACGGAGGGUGCAAGCGUUACUCGGAAUCACUGGGCGUAAAGGACGCGCAGACGGAUUAUCAAGUCUCUUGUGAAAUCUAACGGCUUAACCGUUAAACUGCUUGGGAAACUGAUAAUCUAGAGUAAGGGAGAGGCAGAUGGAAUUCUUGGUGUAGGGGCAAAAUCCGUAGAGAUCAAGGAGAAUACCCAUUGCGAAAGCGAUCUGCUGGAACUUAACUGACGCUAAUGCGUGAAAGCGUGGGGAGCAAACAGGAUUAGAUACCCGCGUAGUCCCUGUCUCUUAUAC